GUUUUUAAAAUGUGGAUCUCACAGAGGCAGAUCUGAUUUCUAAAUGGUGUAAAGUGUUGUCAGUUCUCAGAAUUGGCCAUCUAUUGGCCUUUCCCAUGCACAGAGGUAGUUCCCAGCAGCUUCUCUUGAACAAAUCACUUCGGUGUUUUUUUAUUUUUUUGAUGUUAAUCAAAUGAAACCAACGUCAAAUCAAUGUGAAACCUCCACAGUAAUAAUUUCAGCCUUGCAGAAAUUGAAGGCAUUGGAAAUAAAGGAAAAUAUUAUUUCAUAAAAACUACAUAAUGAAAUAAUUUAGAUAGUUGAGAAAGAUGUCCUUUAAAAUGCAAGAAUGAAGAUUCAACCUGAUUAUAGAGAAUUGUUCCAAUGAUGUAAAAUCUGUGUUCAAUUGCAUAAAGAAAAGUAUUGUUAGAUUUAAUUUGCCCAUAGGAAGACUAAUUCCAAGGCUGCUUCAAAAUAUUUGCUCUUUAAUCACAAUGCUGUUGACAAAUAAGGCUGUGACAAAACAAAAUCAUCGCUCUGAAUUGUUCUGAACUUUGGACAAGUGGUUCCAUCUCCAGAGCUUCAAUUUGGUGAUAGAGGAGUCCACAGCUGUGAACCACUAUAAGUUCAUUUAACACCUGAAGGUGAUCUGUUGUAGGAUAUCCUGAUUAAUAGUAUUUCUGUUCCUUUGGAAAUCUGGAGCUCAGCAUGAAAUGAACUACUUGUAAAAUGAAGACAACGAGAUAUAACUUCUUCAGAGGGAAUCUGCUGCACUGUAAGUUACGGCCAAGAGUAGAGUUCAACUUAGCAGCUAGAGACAGAAGACUUCUGGAGUGGAAGUUCUUAAAAAAAAAAGAUCAGAUUUAAAAGUCUCCUCUGCAAUAGAAUUUACAGUCAUCGGAACUUCUGUGGAAGAGGCACAUAUCAAAAUAAUUAUUAAGUAUUAUGAAUAUGAUGAGAAUUAUGAAAUAAUUAUGAAUUAUUAUGAAGUAACUCCUAUGCUUGCAAAAACAGCUGAAAAAGGAGGAAGCAACUGAUAUAUAGCAGUAUAAUAUUCACCUGUUGUUCACAAAUACAUGGCACAAAGCUGUCACCAUUAAAAGACAAUCACUUUGUUUAUUCACACUGGACACAUGGACUCAAGUUCUGCAAUGAGUUAUACUAAUGUAAAUUUAAAGUAAGCUCCAUGUGGGCACAGUUAAUAAAAAAAUCAUAAAAAAUGAAACUGAAGGUGAAACUUACCUGGACAAACUGCUGUAUUUAACCUCUUUGGAAUUCUGUCUGUCUCCACAGCUCUUUCACUAGGUGUGACCUGUCUGGAAAAAUCUUUAUGAAAAUGCUGUCAAGGAUGUAAAUAAAGCACAUGGAAAAGAUGAAUUUUUAAAUGGUUAUAUCUGACAAUACCUUGGCUUUUCAUCCAAUCUGGAAUAAGGCCUAAUAUCUUGAAGUUUGGUUUCAAUGUCAAAAUAUUUUCUUCUGCAAAUAGUUCAAUUCAUCAUUCUGACUUCCGUGUAAUACUAUAAACUGUACUUUUUUUGUGUUACCAUAAAAUCAAGUAUACUGAAGCAAUAGCCUUUCUAAUCUAGAAAUUUGAUUUCAGCUCAUGGGAAAAAAAAUUGCUAGGGAAAGCACUUCAUCUGCCUAGAAAAUAUGUCAAGAAAAGACAAUUAAUUCAGGGCUUACAGUACUUUUUUCCCCUCCCUCCGCCAUAUUGCUUCCAAAAGGGAAUAUAUAAAGGAAUUGUGUGUAAAUUAUAAACAUAUUAUUUUCUCAAACACAGUCUUAGCUAUGGCUAGUGGUCUUAGUUGCCCCUAGAAUUCUUAAAAAAAACCUUAGUGUAGUGCUCUCUUUUUGGAGCUUUAAACCAAGAUUUUCUCCACUGUAUCUUUAAAUCCAUAUCACCAAAUACCUUUAGUGACAUUAAUAGUACAAAUAAUUUUCUUGAACAAAGAAUGCCUCCUUAAAAGCUGCCAACCUGCUUUGUGACUGUGCUGUUUUCCUUUACAGCUGUGCUGUUCUUCCCCCACCAAACACAGCAUCAUACUGAGCUGUAUCUUGGUUUAAUCUGCUGCCUGUUCUG
Molecule: non-coding RNA, 2059 nt
Organism: Cyanistes caeruleus (blue tit)
Lineage: Eukaryota; Metazoa; Chordata; Aves; Passeriformes; Paridae
Source: RefSeq, a predicted model, not a curated record